CCUACGGGGGGCUGCAGUAGGGAAUCUUGCGCAAUGGGCGAAAGCCUGACGCAGCCAUGCCGCGUGAAUGAUGAAGGUCUUAGGAUUGUAAAAUUCUUUCACCGGGGACGAUAAUGACGGUACCCGGAGAAGAAGCCCCGGCUAACUUCGUGCCAGCAGCCGCGGUAAUACGAAGGGGGCUAGCGUUGCUCGGAAUUACUGGGCGUAAAGGGAGCGUAGGCGGAUAGUUUAGUCAGAGGUGAAAGCCCAGGGCUCAACCUUGGAACUGCCUUUGAUACUGGCUAUCUUGAGUAUGGGAGAGGUGAGUGGAACUCCGAGUGUAGAGGUGAAAUUCGUAGAUAUUCGGAAGAACACCAGUGGCGAAGGCGACUCACUGGCCCAUUACUGACGCUGAGGCUCGAAAGCGUGGGGAGCAAACAGGAUUAGAUACCCCGGUAGUC
Molecule: ribosomal RNA, 440 nt
Filed under: uncultured Phenylobacterium sp.
Lineage: Bacteria; Pseudomonadati; Pseudomonadota; Alphaproteobacteria; Caulobacterales; Caulobacteraceae
Description: bacterial SSU rRNA
Rfam family: Bacterial small subunit ribosomal RNA
Source: RNAcentral